Molecule: unclassified non-coding RNA, 2526 nt
Filed under: Leishmania donovani
Lineage: Eukaryota; Euglenozoa; Kinetoplastea; Trypanosomatida; Trypanosomatidae
Description: gene:LdHU3.32.1670(CDS-product:ubiquitin_hydrolas e_putative)
Source: RNAcentral
CACUCGUACAUAAAGGUCCUCACACACAAAAGAAAACAAAAAGAAACAAGAUAGGGCUCAAGAGGCGCGCAGCCAGACAAGUGCGCCGUAAACAGUCUUUUGUAGUGUAGCAGGGCGGACACGGGCGCACUGGGCGCUUGGCGGUCAACCGCCGCCCUCUUGUGUCUCUCUCUUCCUCUGCCGGUACGCAGAAUCCUCGCUUCUGGUGUAGCCCAGCACCGAUGGGUGGGCCACCGGGGUCACAGGUGGCGCAGAAGAAACCAAACCGACCACGGCACAAAAAACAGGAGGGUGUAAGCGAAAAUGGUGCCAGCGCCAAGGGAGCAACGACGCUUGCCUCUUCCAAUGGAUGUGGCGUCACAGCUAUGCAGGCUGCUGCGUCGCCGUCGCCGUUUCAGCCACCACGCCAGCCUAACGUGUACACCGACUGCGCACCGCUGCGAGAGCUGUACGACCAAGUUCGACUGAGUGAAUGCGGCCUCCACGGCAUUAGUGUCAGGGGCGGUGCUGGUCGACCGCGAAGGCGGGAGGAAAAGGGACGCCCCUUCACGCUUCAGCAAUCCUUCAGCGAAUUGCCGUACCCGCGUGGGAUAAUGAACAACAGCAACUUCUGCUUCAUGAAUUCGAUGCUGCAGGCACUCAUGUUCAUUCCCUCCUUUGCGCAACUGACCGUCUCCGUCAGCUGUGAUGCGCAGGCACGCCAGCUGUGCCCCACGCUGGCGACCCUUGGAAAGUGGACACUUCAGUACUGGAAGCCCGGUUUCACGCGGCUAGCGAUGAUAGCCCCAACGUUGAUGCCGCGCUUGCCUGCUGGUGCCAACAACAGUAACAGCGGCGCUCCUCGGUCGGCCGUGGUGCCCGCCUCGCAGCGGAUCCUUGACGGCUCUGUGCAGGAGGACGCGCAGGAGUUUCUGCAGAAGUUGCUAGAGCGUGUGCAUGAAGAGCUGGUGGGUCUCGAGGAAGCUUUUCAGCAGGCCGACGCGUCUGAAGCGGCGACGGAGAGCGAAAUGGGGUUGAUUGCCCCUGCUGCCACCACCACCACCGCCAGUGGCGGUGGUGGUGGUGGUGGUGGUGGUGGCCGCGCCGAUGCUCCGGACGACGCGACCGCCUCGACCUUCCACAAGAAGGGCUGGACGUUUGUGAAGGGAAAGGAGAAGCUGGCGGUGCGGGAGCACGAGGAUGUGCAAGGGCAGUCGAAACUGCUGGCAAGUAUCUUUGGUGGAACGCUGGAGAGCCACUUGCAGGGAAAGCAGCGCCAGCGCGACCGCGUGUCAGUGCUCAUCGAGAGGUACUACUGUCUCCCCGUCGACGUUGGCUUUGCGCCGGAGUGUACCGUUGAGCAAGCUCUCGAGCGCACCUUCAUGACAGAGCGGAUCUAUGACAGCGAGCAUGAGAAAAAACUCAAGAAGACUCUCCGCCUCGGCCGUCUGCCCUCCGUUCUCUUUCUGCAGCUGCGCCGCUGGGCCGUGACGCGCGAGGGCGAGCUCGUGAAGCUCGACAACGUUGUGCGUAUCAAGCGCACCUUGCUGAUUCCUCGUACCAUCUGCGCUGAUGAGACACUUGGCAACACCGAGCGAGCGUACCGUCUCCUGUCGGUUGUGUGCCAUCGCGGUGACGCCGUUAGUCGGGGGCACUAUGUCACCUACUUAGUGCACCAUGCCGCGACCCCAGCCGUCCUGAAGGUGCAGUCGAGUGAGCCGGGCAACAAGGACACUGCAAUCCUGCGUUCGCCGCCUGACGCGGCGACAGUGAUUCUCUGCAAUGACGCCAACAUUUCUGUGUGUCCAGCAAAGAACAUGGAGAAGGAGACCAUGUACUUUCUCGUCUACCAGAAGACAAGCUGAUAUGCCCCCCCCUCCCCGCUUCCCCCAACCCCUCCAACCUUGAACGGCAACGGCUGUUUUUUUUUGUCUUGUGUGCUUUUUUGUUUUUGUUGCGCGUCGCGUAUGUGUCUGUGCUCGUCGCUAUCCAACGGUGGUUUGGGCUUCCUGUGUGCGCGUUUUCGUCCCGUAGCAAAAGGUUUUGUUUUCUUUUUCGGGCCUGCGCGACUGUUUGAUCGGCCACAUACAUCGUGUACCUGUAUUCAAGUUUCACCAUCUCGUUGCACCCUCGCGUUCGGCAACGCACCGCGCUCUUGAUUAGGGAGAGAUGAAGCUACCGCUUUCCUCACGUUUCCCUUUGGCUCGUUUUGCAGCUCGUUCGCUGCUCUCUCCCCACAUGAAAUCACGAAAAGGAGAAGGAGUGAUGUUUCGCUCGCUCGCUCGCUCUGCCACGGCGAGCGUUACAGUCAAAGAGCCUUCUGCGCACAGAAUCGUGUGUGUGUGUGUGUGUCUGCAGAAGUGUUUCUGCGUUUCGCUCCUGUUCAUCAAUCCCGUUUAUACUGUCUCCACUUCUCCUUCCUUCCCCCUCUCUAUCCCCCAUUAUUUCAUGUGCCUAUUGCAUCCCACGCACACGACUUUUCGACGCCAACGGCAAACUGUGCCGCACAUGUUCUCGCUUCUCCGCGCUCGAUCGUCGGCCCAUCAG